This is a long non-coding RNA of Austrofundulus limnaeus, 202 nucleotides long. RefSeq lists it as uncharacterized. The record is from RefSeq and is a predicted model, not a curated record. The transcript has 3 exons. NCBI's taxonomy places the organism in Eukaryota, Metazoa, Chordata, Actinopteri, Cyprinodontiformes, Rivulidae.
ACAUGUGAGAUCAGUCUCAGAUAAUGUUCAUCUGUAACUCUGGGAGAAAAGAAACUCUGGGACUUUGGUUUUAUUUUAUUAUUAUAAUUUUUUUGUUGAACCCAACCUGACUGACAGGAUCAUCACUAAGAAGUGGGAGAAUCAGGAGGAGUUCCUCCCCCGUCCUGAGUGGACAUUCCUGUCUUUACGGCGUGGAUGUGAC